GACGAACGCUGGCGGCGUGCUUAACACAUGCAAGUCGAACGGAAAGGCCCUGCUUUUGUGGGGUGCUCGAGUGGCGAACGGGUGAGUAACACGUGAGUAACCUGCCCUUGACUUUGGGAUAACUUCAGGAAACUGGGGCUAAUACCGGAUAGGAGCUCCUGCUGCAUGGCGGGGGUUGGAAAGUUUCGGCGGUUGGGGAUGGACUCGCGGCUUAUCAGCUUGUUGGUGGGGUAGUGGCUUACCAAGGCAUUGACGGGUAGCCGGCCUGAGAGGGUGACCAGCCACAUUGGGACUGAGAUACGGCCCAGACGCCUACGGGAGGCAGCAGUGGGGAAUAUUGCACAAUGGGCGGAAGCCUGAUGCAGCAACGCCGCGUGCGGGAUGACGGCCUUCGGGUUGUAAACCGCUUUCGCCUGUGACGAAGCGUGAGUGACGGUAAUGGGUAAAGAAGCACCGGCUAACUACGUG
RNAcentral lists this ribosomal RNA (468 nucleotides) under uncultured bacterium. RNAcentral describes it as "partial 16S ribosomal RNA". It matches the Rfam family "Bacterial small subunit ribosomal RNA", at positions 28 to 507 of the family's 1533-position model. The record is from RNAcentral.